UACGAAGGGGGCUAGCGUUGCUCGGAAUCACUGGGCGUAAAGGGUGCGUAGGCGGGUCUUUAAGUCAGGGGUGAAAUCCUGGAGCUCAACUCCAGAACUGCCUUUGAUACUGAGGAUCUUGAGUCCGGGAGAGGUGAGUGGAACUGCGAGUGUAGAGGUGAAAUUCGUAGAUAUUCGCAAGAACACCAGUGACGAAGGCGGCUCACUGGCCCGGUACUGACGCUGAGGCACGAAAGCGUGGGGAGCAAACAGG
This 253-nucleotide ribosomal RNA is filed under the name uncultured bacterium. Its description in RNAcentral is "partial 16S ribosomal RNA". It matches the Rfam family "Bacterial small subunit ribosomal RNA", at positions 524 to 776 of the family's 1533-position model. The record is from RNAcentral.